CACACCCCGGUGAAUACGUUCCCGGGCCUUGUACACACCGCCCGUCACGCCAUGAAAGCCGGGAGUACCCGAAGUCGCUUAAUAAGCGCCGAAGGUAAAACCGGUGAUUGGGGCG
This 115-nucleotide ribosomal RNA is filed under the name uncultured bacterium. RNAcentral's name for it is "partial 16S ribosomal RNA". It matches the Rfam family "Bacterial small subunit ribosomal RNA", at positions 1353 to 1482 of the family's 1533-position model. The record is from RNAcentral.